Long non-coding RNA from Anthonomus grandis grandis, 539 nucleotides. RefSeq lists it as uncharacterized. NCBI's taxonomy places the organism in Eukaryota, Metazoa, Arthropoda, Insecta, Coleoptera, Curculionidae. The record is from RefSeq and is a predicted model, not a curated record. The transcript has 3 exons.
CGAGCAAUAACUAUAAAAGUCUGUACUAAUCAGCUCUCAGAAAAUGCUUUCUUCACAACAGAUAAAAUUUUCAAAAUGGUAAACGAAAACAAUGAUAAAAAAUAUUGUCGUUUUAAACAUAUCAUGCUUUAAGUCAUUUAAGUCAUUAUUUUGUCGAAAAUCAAGUUGAGUCAAAAAUUAUUUCUUUUAGGUAUAAUACUUCCUACGUCAAGUUUUAUUGCAAAAACUCACCCUUAAUGUUCUGUGUCAAACUGCAGAACUAGACCUACCUUAUUUUUCCUGAAGUAUGUAGGGUUGGUGUUUACUAUUUUCGUCCCAUGUUGAUUGACGUUCCAUAAUUGUAUUUUUUUUUUAAUAAACGCAUUUAAUUUACUGCAUGUUAUCAUUGUUUUCAAUGAAAAUAAAAUGUUCGUUGUUUAAAUUAAUGGAUAGAUCAUAAUAUAAUGCAAGAAGUCCAAAUUUGUAUUAAAGCAAAAAUGGAAUGAUGAUGACAAAGAAAUUAUGUCUUGGGGGAAAGAAGAAUGUUUGGUAAAUGAACA